This 244-nucleotide long non-coding RNA is filed under the name Elaeis guineensis (African oil palm). RNAcentral describes it as "long non-coding RNA (EGUI_LNC040501)". Lineage: Eukaryota; Viridiplantae; Streptophyta; Magnoliopsida; Arecales; Arecaceae. The record is from RNAcentral.
UGCUGGCUAGAUUUAAAACUUAAUGGAUCACAUACUUUGAGAUUUGAUCUUGGUCUAAUUUUAUUUAAACUUAUUGUAAGUUCUAAUAAUUAAUUUGAUAUGCUAGCACAUUAUGUUAACCCAAGUUUUCAAUUUGGUUAGUUCAAAGUAUUUGAGCUAGACUUAACCUGUUGUCUUGGAUCUAAUUGGAUUAAAUCCAUAUUUAAUUAGUUUUUUGCCUUUAUAUGGAAGUGUUUAAUGUGUG